This 1181-nucleotide ribosomal RNA is filed under the name Brachyspira canis. RNAcentral's name for it is "bacterial SSU rRNA". It matches the Rfam family "Bacterial small subunit ribosomal RNA", at positions 163 to 1362 of the family's 1533-position model. Lineage: Bacteria; Pseudomonadati; Spirochaetota; Spirochaetia; Brachyspirales; Brachyspiraceae. The record is from RNAcentral.
CUAAUACCGCAUAUACUCUUGCUACACAAGCAGAGGAGAGGAAAGGAGUAAUCCGCUUUACGAUGAGCCUGCGGCCUAUUAGCCUGUUGGUAGGGUAACGGCCUACCAAAGCUACGAUAGGUAGCCGACCUGAGAGGGUGACCGGCCACAUUGGGACUGAGAUACGGCCCAGACUCCUACGGGAGGCAGCAGCUGAGAAUCUUCCACAAUGGACGAAAGUCUGAUGGAGCGACAUCGCGUGAGGGAUGAAGGCCUUCGGGUUGUAAACCUCGGAAAUUAUCGAAGAAUGAGUGACAGUAGAUAAUGUAAGCCUCGGCUAACUACGUGCCAGCAGCCGCGGUAAUACGUAGGAGGCAAACGUUGCUCGGAUUUACUGGGCGUAAAGGGUGAGUAGGCGGACUUAUAAGUCUAAGGUGAAAGACCGGAGCUCAACUUCGGGAACGCCUCGGAUACUGUAAGUCUUGGAUAUUGUAGGGGAUGAUGGAAUUCUCGGUGUAGCGGUGGAAUGCGCAGAUAUCGAGAGGAACACCUAUAGCGAAGGCAGUCAUCUGGGCAUUUAUCGACGCUGAAUCACGAAAGCUAGGGGAGCAAACAGGCUUAGAUACCCUGGUAGUCCUAGCCGUAAACGUUGUACACUAGGUGCUUCUAUUUAAAUAGGAGUGCCGUAGCUAACGUCUUAAGUGUACCGCCUGAGGAGUAUGCCCGCAAGGGUGAAACUCAAAGAAAUUGACGGGUCCCCGCACAAGUGGUGGAGCAUGUGGUUUAAUUCGAUGAUACGCGAAAAACCUUACCUGGGUUUGAAUUGUAAGAUGAAUGAUUUAGAGAUAAGUCAGACCGCAAGGACGUUUUACAUAGGUGCUGCAUGGCUGUCGUCAGCUCGUGUCGUGAGAUGUUGGGUUAAGUCCCGCAACGAGCGCAACCCUCACCCUUUGUUGCUACCGAGUAAUGUCGGGCACUCUUAGGGGACUGCCUACGUUCAAGUAGGAGGAAGGUGGGGAUGAUGUCAAGUCCUCAUGGCCCUUAUGUCCAGGGCUACACACGUGCUACAAUGGCAAGUACAAAGAGAAGCGAGACCGCGAGGUGGAGCAAAACUCAAAAAAGUUGCCUCAGUUCGGAUUGGAGUCUGAAACUCGACUCCAUGAAGUUGGAAUCACUAGUAAUCGUAGAUCAGAACGCUACGG